AGUGUGAGAAUAGGAUUAUCAUUUGGGGCAUGGAGGUGUUUCCCAUUUUGGGGGACUUACACUA
Molecule: transfer RNA, 64 nt
Filed under: Lingula anatina
Lineage: Eukaryota; Metazoa; Brachiopoda; Lingulata; Lingulida; Lingulidae
Description: tRNA-Pro
Source: RNAcentral